UUUUAAUUUUAAUUUUUAUUUUUUUCUUAGAUCUGUUUAAAUGUCACCAUGGCAGCCUGUGUGUCUCCAACAUCAGCUACACAAAGCAGCAAGUCCAUUUGGAUCAUUGGAGACAGCUGAGUGAGGCGUGGUGCCCAGAGAGCUGCAGAGACCGGAGACAACCUUGGCCUCCCUGACGUCUGUGUCUCCAGGUUCGGUUGGGGUGGACCAUCGACAUACAUACAUGUGCCGACACUUUGCGCCCUGUUUUAUAAACUGUAGUGUUAAAAAUAAAUGUUUUUGCUCAA
Nothobranchius furzeri (turquoise killifish) is the source of this 287-nucleotide non-coding RNA. The record is from RefSeq and is a predicted model, not a curated record. NCBI's taxonomy places the organism in Eukaryota, Metazoa, Chordata, Actinopteri, Cyprinodontiformes, Nothobranchiidae.